This 433-nucleotide ribosomal RNA is filed under the name uncultured bacterium. Its description in RNAcentral is "partial 16S ribosomal RNA". It matches the Rfam family "Bacterial small subunit ribosomal RNA", at positions 29 to 507 of the family's 1533-position model. The record is from RNAcentral.
AACGAACGCUGGCGGCAGGCCUAACACAUGCAAGUCGAGCGAGGACUUCGGUCCUAGCGGCGGACGGGUGAGUAACGCGUGGGAACGUGCCCUUUGCUUCGGAAUAGCCCUGGGAAACUGGGAGUAAUACCGGAUGAGCCCUUUGGGGGAAAGAUUUAUCGGCGUAGGAUCGGCCCGCGUUGGAUUAGGUAGUUGGUGGGGUAAUGGCCUACCAAGCCGACGAUCCAUAGCUGGUUUGAGAGGAUGAUCAGCCACACUGGGACUGAGACACGGCCCAGACUCCUACGGGAUGCAGCAGUGGGGAAUCCUAGACAAUGGGGGAAACCCUGAUCGAGCCAUGCCGCGUGAGCGAUGAAGGCCUUAGGGUUGUAAAGCUCUUUCAGCUGGGAAGAUAAUGACGGUACCAGCAGAAGAAGCCCCGGCUAACACCGUG